GACGAACGCUGGCGGCGUGCUUAACACAUGCAAGUCGAACGGAAAGGCCCUGCUUUUGUGGGGUGCUCGAGUGGCGAACGGGUGAGUAACACGUGAGUAACCUGCCCUUGACUUUGGGAUAACUUCAGUAAACUGGGGCUAAUACCGGAUAGGAGCUCCUGCUGCAUUGUUGGGGUUGGAAAGUUUCGGCGGUUGGGGAUGGACUCGCGGCUUAUCAGCUUGUUGGUGGGGUAGUGGCUUACCAAGGCUUUGACGGGUAGCCGGCCUGAGAGGGUGAGCGGCAACAUUGGGACUGAGAUACGGCACAGACUCCUACGGGAGGCAGCAGUGGGGAAUAGUGCACAAUGGGCGGAAGCCUGAUGCAGCAACGCCGCGUGCGGGAUGACGGCCUUCGGGUUGUAAACCGCUUUCGCCUGUGACGAAGCGUGAGUGACGGUAAUGGGUAAAGAAGCACCGGCUAACUACGUG
This 468-nucleotide ribosomal RNA is filed under the name uncultured bacterium. RNAcentral's name for it is "partial 16S ribosomal RNA". It matches the Rfam family "Bacterial small subunit ribosomal RNA", at positions 28 to 507 of the family's 1533-position model. The record is from RNAcentral.